Non-coding RNA from Potamilus streckersoni, 73 nucleotides. The record is from the annotation of a GenBank genome assembly. NCBI's taxonomy places the organism in Eukaryota, Metazoa, Mollusca, Bivalvia, Unionida, Unionidae.
GCUCCUGUGGCCUAGUGGUUAGAGCAUCCGCCCCAGAUGCUGGAGGUUGUGGGUUCGAUCCCCUAUUGAGUCA